This 330-nucleotide ribosomal RNA is filed under the name uncultured eukaryote. RNAcentral describes it as "partial 18S ribosomal RNA". It matches the Rfam family "Eukaryotic small subunit ribosomal RNA", at positions 1470 to 1796 of the family's 1831-position model. The record is from RNAcentral.
CCCUUAGAUGUUCUGGGCCGCACGCGUGCUACACUGAUGCAUUCAACGAGUCUAAAACCUGGUCUGAUAGGGCUGGGUAAUCUUUUGAAAGUGCAUCGUGAUUGGGAUAGAUGAUUGCAAUUCUUCAUCUUCAACGAGGAAUGCCUAGUAAACGCAAGUCAUCAGCUUGCGUUGAUUACGUCCCUGCCCUUUGUACACACCGCCCGUCGCUCCUACCGAUUGAAUGAUCCGAUGAAUAUCAUGGAUUGAGAGUACGAAUGGGUUCGCUCAUUUCUGCUGCUCGAGAAGUGAAGUAAAUCUUAUCAUUUAGAGGAAGGAGAAGUCGUAACA